Molecule: ribosomal RNA, 484 nt
Filed under: uncultured bacterium
Lineage: Bacteria
Description: partial 16S ribosomal RNA
Rfam family: Bacterial small subunit ribosomal RNA
Source: RNAcentral
AUUGAACGCUGGCGGCAGGCCUAACACAUGCAAGUCGAACGGAAGGACGGUGCUUGCUUGGGGUUUCAGCGGGGGAAGGGGGAGUGAAGCAUGGGAAUAUCCGGGGCUGGGGGUUAGUACGUCCUGAAGCAGGCGCGAAUACCGCAUAAGUGCAGAGGGAGCAGGUGGGGGAGCUUCGGACCUUACGCUAUGAGGGGAGUGGAGGCGGGAUUGGCUAGUUGGUGGGUUGAGGGCCUACAAAGCCGACGAUCCGUAGCUGGUCUGAGAGGAUGAGUGGCCACACUGGAACUGAGACACGGUCCAGACUCCUACGGGAGGCAGCAGUGGGGAAUAUGGGACAAUGGGCGAAAGCCUGAUCCAGCCAUGCCGCGUGUGUGAAGAAGGCCUUCGGAUUGUAAAGCCCUUCUAGUGGGUAAGAACCGCAGUAGGUUAAUACCUAGCUGUUUUGACGGUACCAAGAGAAUAAGCACCGGCUAACUUCGUG